CCAAAUGUGUUGAUUAGAAAUAGUAAACGUGAUUUGACCUUUCAGAGAGCCGUUGGGUGGUGCGAAACGGCAGUGUCCGUCAUGUUGAACUCGUCUAUGAACAGCUGCCUGAUAAGUAGGGUAAGCCGGGAUUCCGCCGUUACAAGGAUAGAUGGUGUUAGCCAUCGAAAGAGAUCAUUUCAUCAUGUGAAAUGAAUUAGAGUGGUACCGCGGGUUAAACCUCGUCUCUAUA
This 232-nucleotide non-coding RNA is filed under the name Paenibacillus sp. RNAcentral's name for it is "T-box sequence". It matches the Rfam family "T-box leader". From Rfam's summary of the family: Uncharged tRNA acts as the effector for transcription antitermination of genes in the T-box leader family. Lineage: Bacteria; Bacillati; Bacillota; Bacilli; Caryophanales; Paenibacillaceae. The record is from RNAcentral.